ACAAGAAACUUGAGAGUAACUUAACUUUUUUGUUGUUGUAAACAGCAGAACUCAUCACACGGAGGGAGGAAACUCAUCACACAGAGAGCCAUGAGGACAUCCAUUACCCACAUGGCACAGCGGAUGGACACAUUUGAGGAAAAGAUGGAUGAGCUGCUCAUGCUCUUAAGGAGCUCCCAGUCACCUCCCUCUGCUCCAGUCAAUGACAUGUUGCUGUCGCCCUGCUCGACAGUCACUGAGCUGCAGGAGUUAGACAGGAGUCUCGGUCAACAGGAGAGGAGGAACAAAAUGCAACUUUUCCUGACAACGCUUGGAGGUCCGACCACAGGUACUGCAGUCCAACGCAUGCUAUGGCGAGUGGCAACUAAUAA
Long non-coding RNA from Sander lucioperca (pikeperch), 371 nucleotides. RefSeq lists it as uncharacterized. The transcript is spliced from 3 exons. NCBI's taxonomy places the organism in Eukaryota, Metazoa, Chordata, Actinopteri, Perciformes, Percidae. The record is from RefSeq and is a predicted model, not a curated record.